CCCUUAGAUGUUCUGGGCCGCACGCGUGCUACACUGAGUGGAUCAGCGGGUCAGGUUGCGCGAAAGCGUUUCCUAAUCUUUAAAUCCGCUCGUGAUGGGGAUUGACGGUUGCAAUUUUCUGUCAUGAACGAGGAAUACCUUGUAAGCGCGGGUCAUCAUCCCGCGCUGAAUACGUCCCUGCCCUUUGUACACACCGCCCGUCGCUCCUACCGAUUGAGUGGUCCGGUGAGGCUUUGGGAUCUGAGCGGAAAGAGCGUUUCGCUGUUUCUGCUCGGAAAACUCAGUCGAACCUUAUCAUUUAGAGGAAGGGGAAGGCGUAACA
Molecule: ribosomal RNA, 322 nt
Filed under: uncultured eukaryote
Lineage: Eukaryota
Description: partial 18S ribosomal RNA
Rfam family: Eukaryotic small subunit ribosomal RNA
Source: RNAcentral